GCUUUUUGGUCUUUCCUGCUGCCUUGUGAAGAAGGUGCUUGUUUCUUCUUUGCCUUCUGCCAUGAUUGCCAUGUGAAUCGCACCCCUGGAACUGUGCAGGGCCCACCUGUGUGGCCACACGCAGUGACCCUGAGCAAAGGAGUGACCACAGAAGUGCAUGGCAAAGCAGAAAGGUGUGACGUCUUGGAGGACGCGGGAGGAAAGCACGCCCAGCGGACAGGAGCCAUCACGCGGCUGCGGGCUGCUGCUGAGAACCUGGCGUGGGCCACCGUCGUCAGCAGCGUGGAGGAACGCAUAUGCUGCCUCCUUUCUGA
This 314-nucleotide long non-coding RNA is filed under the name Homo sapiens (human). RNAcentral describes it as "non-protein coding lnc-DFFB-50:1". The record is from RNAcentral. Lineage: Eukaryota; Metazoa; Chordata; Mammalia; Primates; Hominidae.